Molecule: ribosomal RNA, 478 nt
Filed under: uncultured bacterium
Lineage: Bacteria
Description: partial 16S ribosomal RNA
Rfam family: Bacterial small subunit ribosomal RNA
Source: RNAcentral
GACGAACGCUGGCGGCGUGCUUAACACAUGCAAGUCGAGCGGUAAGGCCUUUCGGGGUACACGAGCGGCGAACGGGUGAGUAACACAUGGGUGAUCUGCCCUGCACUCUGGGAUAAGCCUGGGAAACUGGGUCUAAUACUGGAUAUGACCUCAGCAUGCUUGUGCUGGGGUGGAAAGCUUUUGUGGUGCAGGAUGGGCCCGCGGCCUAUCAGCUUGUUGGUGGGGUAAUGGCCUACCAAGGCGACGACGGGUAGCCGACCUGAGAGGGUGACCGGCCACACUGGGACUGAGACACGGCCCAGACUCCUACGGGAGGCAGCAGUGGGGAAUAUUGCACAAUGGGCGGAAGCCUGAUGCAGCGACGCCGCGUGAGGGAUGAAGGCCUUCGGGUUGUAAACCUCUUUCAGCAGGGACGAAGCGUGAGUGACGGUACCUGCAGAAGAAGCACCGGCUAACUACGUGCCAGCCGCCGCGGUAA